This 65-nucleotide transfer RNA is filed under the name Empoascanara gracilis. RNAcentral's name for it is "tRNA-Val". Lineage: Eukaryota; Metazoa; Arthropoda; Insecta; Hemiptera; Cicadellidae. The record is from RNAcentral.
CAAGAAAUAGCUUAUUUUAAAGCUGUUUAUUUACAUUAAGCCGAAAUUAACUUUAUUUUUCUUGA